Molecule: ribosomal RNA, 721 nt
Filed under: uncultured bacterium
Lineage: Bacteria
Description: bacterial SSU rRNA
Rfam family: Bacterial small subunit ribosomal RNA
Source: RNAcentral
CCUAACACAUGCAAGUCGAGCGGUAGAGAGAAGCUUGCUUCUCUUGAGAGCGGCGGACGGGUGAGUAAUACCUAGGAAUCUGCCUGGUAGUGGGGGAUAACGUUCGGAAACGGACGCUAAUACCGCAUACGUCCUACGGGAGAAAGCAGGGGACCUUCGGGCCUUGCGCUAUCAGAUGAGCCUAGGUCGGAUUAGCCAGUUGGUGAGGUAAUGGCUCACCAAGGCUACGAUCCGUAACUGGUCUGAGAGGAUGAUCAGUCACACUGGAACUGAGACACGGUCCAGACUCCUACGGGAGGCAGCAGUGGGGAAUAUUGGACAAUGGGCGAAAGCCUGAUCCAGCCAUGCCGCGUGUGUGAAGAAGGUCUUCGGAUUGUAAAGCACUUUAAGUUGGGAGGAAGGGCAGUAAAUUAAUACUUUGCUGUUUUGACGUUACCGACAGAAUAAGCACCGGCUAACUCUGUGCCAGCAGCCGCGGUAAUACAGAGGGUGCAAGCGUUAAUCGGAAUUACUGGGCGUAAAGCGCGCGUAGGUGGUUUGUUAAGUUGAAUGUGAAAUCCCCGGGCUCAGCCUGGGAACUGCAUCCAAAACUGGCAAGCUAGAGUAUGGUAGAGGGUAGUGGAAUUUCCUGUGUAGCGGUGAAAUGCGUAGAUAUAGGAAGGAACACCAGUGGCGAAGGCGACUACCUGGACUGAUACUGACACUGAGGUGCGAAAGCGUG